Molecule: ribosomal RNA, 2206 nt
Filed under: Klebsiella pneumoniae
Lineage: Bacteria; Pseudomonadati; Pseudomonadota; Gammaproteobacteria; Enterobacterales; Enterobacteriaceae
Description: bacterial LSU rRNA
Rfam family: Bacterial large subunit ribosomal RNA
Source: RNAcentral
UUAAGCGACUAAGCGUACACGGUGGAUGCCCUGGCAGUCAGAGGCGAUGAAGGACGUGCUAAUCUGCGAAAAGCGUCGGUAAGGUGAUAUGAACCGUUAUAGCCGGCGAUGUCCGAAUGGGGAAACCCAGUGUAAUUCGUUGCACUAUCGUUAACUGAAUACAUAGGUUAACGAGGCGAACCGGGGGAACUGAAACAUCUAAGUACCCCGAGGAAAAGAAAUCAACCGAGAUUCCCCCAGUAGCGGCGAGCGAACGGGGAGCAGCCCAGAGUCUGAAUCAGCUUGUGUGUUAGUGGAACGGUCUGGAAAGUCCGACGGUACAGGGUGAUAGUCCCGUACACCAAAAUGCACAGGUUGUGAACUCGAAGAGUAGGGCGGGACACGUGGUAUCCUGUCUGAAUAUGGGGGGACCAUCCUCCAAGGCUAAAUACUCCUGACUGACCGAUAGUGAACCAGUACCGUGAGGGAAAGGCGAAAAGAACCCCGGCGAGGGGAGUGAAAAAGAACCUGAAACCGUGUACGUACAAGCAGUGGGAGCACCUUCGGGUGUGACUGCGUACCUUUUGUAUAAUGGGUCAGCGACUUAUAUUCUGUAGCAAGGUUAACCGUAUAGGGGAGCCGCAGGGAAACCGAGUCUUAACUGGGCGUUAAGUUGCAGGGUAUAGACCCGAAACCCGGUGAUCUAGCCAUGGGCAGGUUGAAGGUUGGGUAACACUAACUGGAGGACCGAACCGACUAAUGUUGAAAAAUUAGCGGAUGACUUGUGGCUGGGGGUGAAAGGCCAAUCAAACCGGGAGAUAGCUGGUUCUCCCCGAAAGCUAUUUAGGUAGCGCCUCGUGAACUCAUCUUCGGGGGUAGAGCACUGUUUCGGCUAGGGGGUCAUCCCGACUUACCAACCCGAUGCAAACUACGAAUACCGAAGAAUGUUAUCACGGGAGACACACGGCGGGUGCUAACGUCCGUCGUGAAGAGGGAAACAACCCAGACCGCCAGCUAAGGUCCCAAAGUCAUGGUUAAGUGGGAAACGAUGUGGGAAGGCACAGACAGCCAGGAUGUUGGCUUAGAAGCAGCCAUCAUUUAAAGAAAGCGUAAUAGCUCACUGGUCGAGUCGGCCUGCGCGGAAGAUGUAACGGGGCUAAACCAUGCACCGAAGCUGCGGCAGCGACACUAUGUGUUGUUGGGUAGGGGAGCGUUCUGUAAGCCUGCGAAGGUGUGCUGUGAGGCAUGCUGGAGGUAUCAGAAGUGCGAAUGCUGACAUAAGUAACGAUAAAGCGGGUGAAAAGCCCGCUCGCCGGAAGACCAAGGGUUCCUGUCCAACGUUAAUCGGGGCAGGGUGAGUCGACCCCUAAGGCGAGGCCGAAAGGCGUAGUCGAUGGGAAACAGGUUAAUAUUCCUGUACUUGGUGUUACUGCGAAGGGGGGACGGAGAAGGCUAUGUUAGCCGGGCGACGGUUGUCCCGGUUUAAGCAUGUAGGCUGGUUGUCCAGGCAAAUCCGGAUAAUCAAGGCUGAGGUGUGAUGACGAGGCACUACGGUGCUGAAGUAACAAAUGCCCUGCUUCCAGGAAAAGCCUCUAAGCAUCAGGUAACAUUAAAUCGUACCCCAAACCGACACAGGUGGUCAGGUAGAGAAUACCAAGGCGCUUGAGAGAACUCGGGUGAAGGAACUAGGCAAAAUGGUGCCGUAACUUCGGGAGAAGGCACGCUGGUGUGUAGGUGAAGUCCCUGCGGAUGGAGCUGAGACCAGUCGAAGAUACCAGCUGGCUGCAACUGUUUAUUAAAAACACAGCACUGUGCAAACACGAAAGUGGACGUAUACGGUGUGACGCCUGCCCGGUGCCGGAAGGUUAAUUGAUGGGGUUAUCCGUAAGGAGAAGCUCUUGAUCGAAGCCCCGGUAAACGGCGGCCGUAACUAUAACGGUCCUAAGGUAGCGAAAUUCCUUGUCGGGUAAGUUCCGACCUGCACGAAUGGCGUAAUGAUGGCCAGGCUGUCUCCACCCGAGACUCAGUGAAAUUGAACUCGCUGUGAAGAUGCAGUGUACCCGCGGCAAGACGGAAAGACCCCGUGAACCUUUACUAUAGCUUGACACUGAACAUUGAGCCUUGAUGUGUAGGAUAGGUGGGAGGCUUUGAAGCGUGGACGCCAGUCUGCGUGGAGCCAACCUUGAAAUACCACCCUUUAAUGUUUGAUGUUCUAACGUUGGCCCCU